RNAcentral lists this ribosomal RNA (859 nucleotides) under uncultured bacterium. RNAcentral describes it as "bacterial SSU rRNA". It matches the Rfam family "Bacterial small subunit ribosomal RNA", at positions 96 to 951 of the family's 1533-position model. The record is from RNAcentral.
UGGCGAACGGGUGAGUAACACGUGGGGAACUUACCAUAAGGUUUGGGAUACUCCCGGGAAACCGGGCACAAUACCAGAUAUCAUUCCAGGAUGAAACCUCCUGGGAUGAAAGCUGCGAGCAAUCACGGCGCCUUUUGAUGGACCCGCGGCCUAUCAGCUAGUUGGUGAGGUAACGGCUCACCAAGGCUAAGACGGGUAGCCGGACUGAGAGGUUGAACGGCCACACUGGAACUGAGACACGGUCCAGACUCCUACGGGAGGCAGCAGUGAGGAAUUUUGCGCAAUGGGCGAAAGCCUGACGCAGCGACGCCGCGUGGGGGAUGAAGGCCUUCGGGUUGUAAACCCCUUUCAUGGGGGAAAAAGCCCCGAGCAAUCGGGGUGAUGGUACCCCAGGAAGAAGCCACGGCUAACUCUGUGCCAGCAGCCGCGGUAAGACAGAGGUGGCAAGCGUUGUUCGGAAUUACUGGGCUUAAAGGGCGUGUAGGCGUCCCGGUAAGUCAGAUGUGGAAGCCUUGGGCUUAACCCAAGAAUUGCAUUUGAAACUGUUGGGAUUGAGUUAGACAUGGGAGGGCAGAAUUCCUGGUGUAGCGGUGAAAUGCGUAGAUAUCAGGAGGAAGGCCUGUGGUGAAGAUGGCCCUCUGGGUCUUAACUGACGCUGAGGCGCGAAAGCGUGGGUAGCAAACAGGAUUAGAUACUCCUGGUAGUCCACGCCUUAAACGGUGGGUACUAGGUGUGGGUGGCGACAGUCAUCUGUGCCGUAGGGAAACCAUUAAGUACCCCGCCUGGGAAGUACGGCCGCAAGGUUGAAACUCAAGGGAUUGACGGGGGCUCGCACAGCGGUGGAGCAUGUGGUUUAUCG